GUCAGUCCUUGGGUGAUGCACCCAGGAAUUGGGCUCUUUCCUCUCUGGUUCUGGGAUGCAUCAUCCAAGAAGAA
This is a non-coding RNA of Myotis davidii, 74 nucleotides long. Lineage: Eukaryota; Metazoa; Chordata; Mammalia; Chiroptera; Vespertilionidae. The record is from Rfam.